GAUGAACGUUGGCGGCGUGCCUAACACAUGCAAGUCGAGCGGGGUUGAGGCGAGAGGUAACUCGAGCUUCUACCUAGCGGCGGACGGGUGAGUAACGCGUGGGCAACCUGCCUCAAGGUUUGGGAUAACAGCCCGAAAGGGCUGCUAAUACCGGAUAUGCCUAUGGCCUCGCAUGGGGCUAUGAGCAAAGGGGAAACCCGCCUUGAGAUGGGCCCGCGUCCCAUCAGCUAGUUGGUGAGGUAACAGCUCACCAAGGCGACGACGGGUAGCCGGCCUGAGAGGGUGACCGGCCACACUGGGACUGAGACACGGCCCAGACUCCUACGGGGGGCAGCAGUGGGGGAUCUUGCACAAUGGGCGAAAGCCUGAUGCAGCGACGCCGCGUGAGCGAAGAAGGCCUUCGGUUGUAAAGCUCUGUCUGGAGGGACGGAACAAAAUAGACGGUACCGUCCGGACGGAAGACCGACGGCUAACUAACGUGCCACGCAGCCGCGGUAAAUACACGUGUA
RNAcentral lists this ribosomal RNA (509 nucleotides) under uncultured bacterium. RNAcentral's name for it is "bacterial SSU rRNA". It matches the Rfam family "Bacterial small subunit ribosomal RNA", at positions 28 to 533 of the family's 1533-position model. The record is from RNAcentral.